GUGAGGAAUAUUGGGCAAUGGGCGAAAGCCUGACCCAGCCACGCCGCGUGAGUGAUGAAGGCCUUCGGGUUGUAAAGCUCUGUGGGGAGGGAAGAAAAAGCGGGAGAGUAACUGCUCUCGUGUUGACGGUACCUCCUUAGCAAGCACCGGCUAACUCUGUGCCAGCAGCCGCGGUAAUACAGAGGGUGCAAACGUUGCUCGGAAUUACUGGGCGUAAAGCGCGUGUAGGCUGACAUGCAAGUCGGGUGUGAAAUCCCAGGGCUCAACCUUGGAACUGCACUCGAAACUGCACGUCUUGAGUACUGGAGAUGGAAGCGGAAUUCCGGGUGUAGAGGUGAAAUUCGUAGAUAUCCGGAGGAACACCAGUGGCGAAGGCGGCUUCCUGGACAGUAACUGACGCUGAGACGCGAAAGCGUGGGGAGCAAACAGGAUUAGAAACCCUUGUAGUCC
Molecule: ribosomal RNA, 450 nt
Filed under: uncultured bacterium
Lineage: Bacteria
Description: bacterial SSU rRNA
Rfam family: Bacterial small subunit ribosomal RNA
Source: RNAcentral